AGCGGKUUCACGACUGAUCCGAGGUCAGACAGACAGACAGACAGACAGGCCGACGGACAGGCACACAACCACCCACCCGGCAGUGCAGCAGUGCCGCAGCGUCGCACUGCACUCAACCAUCACAGCCCAGUUUGCGUGCGCAACGCGCCCAAAUUACACGCACACAGGGCCACGCCUUGUGAACUGCGGCCGGCUGGCCGGCUGCCUGACUGACUGACUCACUCACUCACUCACUCACUGCCUGYCAAUGGCUCCACCACCGCMAACAACAGCGCAUCAACCUGCAACCCAAAGMGGCAAGCACGCAAGCGAGGGAAGCUGGGCGAAGCACAGCACAGCACAGCACAGCACAGCGCAGCGCAGCAAACGCCCUGACGGCCCUACCGCGCGCAACACAAGACACGCACCGCGCCUUACCUUGGAGAGAAGCUACACCACCACCAGCGGAACAGCGAUCUCCCAAGCCACUGCCUAUUACGCACAGCGAUACUUCAUAAGCCGACGCUCGGACAGAC
This 515-nucleotide ribosomal RNA is filed under the name Taenia serialis. RNAcentral describes it as "partial ribosomal RNA". The record is from RNAcentral. Lineage: Eukaryota; Metazoa; Platyhelminthes; Cestoda; Cyclophyllidea; Taeniidae.